Molecule: ribosomal RNA, 1891 nt
Filed under: human gut metagenome
Description: bacterial LSU rRNA
Rfam family: Bacterial large subunit ribosomal RNA
Source: RNAcentral
UCAAGCUACAAAGAGCACAAGGGGAAUGCCUUGGCAUCGGGAGCCGAAGAAGGACGCGACUAACUGCGAUAAGCUACGGGGAGCCGUAAGUAGGCAUUGAUCCGUAGAUUUCCGAAUGGAGCAAUCCGACUAGAGUCAUGUCUAGUCAUCAUAUACUGAAUAAAAUAGGUAUAUGAGGGGAACCGCCUGAACUGAAACAUCUAAGUAGGGCGAGGAAAAGAAAUCAACCGAGAUUCCGCUAGUAGUGGCGAGCGAACGCGGAAGAGGCCAAACCGAGAGUAGUAAUACUUUCGGGGUUAGGACAGAAAUGUGUACACAGAGGUUUAGCAGAAUUGUAUGGGAAGGCAAACCAAAGAGAGUGAAAGUCUCGUAUGCGAAAAACUAAAGUGGCUAUCUGUAUCCAGAGUACCGCCGGACACGAGGAAUCCGGUGGGAAGAUGGGGGGACCAUCCUCCAAGCCUAAAUACUAACCGAUGACCGAUAGAGAAGAGUACCGUGAGGGAAAGGUGAAAAGCACCCCGGGAGGGGAGUGAAAGAGAACCUGAAACCUUGUGCUUACAAGCACCGAGAGCCCGUCAAAGGGUGAUCGGGUACCUAUUGUAGAAUGGUCCGGCGAGUGAAUGUUACUGGCGAGGUUAAGCACUUAAGGUGUGUAGCCAAAGCGAAAGCAAGUCUGAAUAGGGCGAUUUUAAGUCAGUAGUAUUCGACCCGAAACCGGGUGACCUACCCAUGUCCAGGUUGAAGUGGAGGUAAAACUCCAUGGAGGACCGAACCGACUCCCGUUGAAAUGGUAGCGGAUGAGGUGUGGGUAGCGGAGAAAUUCCAAUCGAACCCGGAGAUAGCUGGUUCUCUCCGAAAUAGCUUUAGGGCUAGCCUCGGAAUAGAUUACUGGAGGUAAAGCACUGAAUGGGCUAGGGGCCGAGAGGUUACUGAACCCUAUCAAACUAAGAAUGCCAGAUAAUUGUUUUCCGGGAGUCAGACGGCGUGAGAUAAGUUUCGUCGUCAAAAGGGAAAGAGCCCAGACCCACAGCUAAGGUCCCAAAGUAUAGUUAAGUGGAAAAGGAUGUGGGGUUGCCCAGACAACCAGGAUGUUGGCUUAGAAGCAGCCACUCAUUAAAAGAGUGCGUAAUAGCUCACUGGUCGAGUGACCCUGCGCCGAAAAUUCAACGGGGCUAAAUUAUACACCGAAGCUUGGGAUACCGCAAGGUAUGGUAGGAGAGCGUUCUGUAAGGAGUGAAGUGAGAGCGAAAGCGUUCGUGGACUUUACAGAAGUGAGAAUGCCGGAAUGAGUAGCGAGAAAUAUGUGAGAAUCAUAUUGGCCGAAAGUCUAAGGUUUUUGGAGGAAGGUUCGUCCGCUCCAAGUAAGUCGGGAGCUAAGGUGAGGCCUAACGGCGUAGCCGAUGCACAUACGGUAGAUAUUCCGUAACCACCGAAAGAUUUAAACACAGGGACACCUUGAAAGGGCAUAUCCCGGGAGUUGGUUUACCCGGGCGUAAGGGAUCGAAAUUUGAGUAGAGAAGUAUGUUUGGACGAGGGCGAGAAAAGCUGUGUGUAUAUUUUAGGUGCCCGUACCGCAAACCGACACAGGUGGACAGGAAGAGGAUUCUAAGGCCAACGGGAGAAGGGUAAUUAAGGAACUCGGCAAAUUGACCCCGUAACUUAGGGAUAAGGGGUGCUCAUAGAAAUAUGAGCCGCAGAGAAUAGGCCCAGGCAACUGUUUAUCAAAAACACAGGUCUCUGCCAAAUCGAAAGAUGAAGUAUAGGGGCUGACACCUGCCCGGUGCUGGAAGGUUAAGAGGAGGAGUGAGAGCUCCGAAUUGAAGCCCCAGUAAACGGCGGCCGUAACUAUAACGGUCCUAAGGUAGCGAAAUUCCUUGUCGGGUAAGUUCCG